Molecule: ribosomal RNA, 451 nt
Filed under: uncultured bacterium
Lineage: Bacteria
Description: SSU rRNA
Rfam family: Bacterial small subunit ribosomal RNA
Source: RNAcentral
AGAACGAACGCUGGCGGCAGGCUUAACACAUGCAAGUCGAACGCUCGUAGCAAUACGGGAGUGGCAGACGGGUGAGUAACACGUGGGAACGUACCCUUCGGUUCGGGAUAACACAGGGAAACUUGUGCUAAUACCGGAUACGUCCGAGAGGAGAAAGGUUUACCGCCGAGGGAUCGGCCCGCGUCUGAUUAGCUAGUUGGUGAGGUAACGGCUCACCAAGGCGACGAUCAGUAGCUGGUCUGAGAGGAUGAUCAGCCACAUUGGGACUGAGACACGGCCCAAACUCCUACGGGAGGCAGCAGUGGGGAAUAUUGGACAAUGGCGCAAGCCUGAUCCAGCCAUGCCGCGUGAGUGAUGACGGCCUUAGGGUUGUAAAGCUCUUUUACCUGGGAAGAUAAUGACGGUACCAGGAGAAGUAAGACCCGGCCUAACUUACGUCGCCAGCAGCCGC